GAUGCGAUGGCCGAGCGGUCUAAGGCGAUUGACUAGAACUAGUUAUCUGCUUCGGUAGACUACUGUGUUGGUAUAUCAAUUCUCUUCGGAGGCGCAGGUUCAAAUCCUGCUCGCAUCG
This is a non-coding RNA of Exophiala bonariae, 118 nucleotides long. The record is from the annotation of a RefSeq genome assembly. NCBI's taxonomy places the organism in Eukaryota, Fungi, Ascomycota, Eurotiomycetes, Chaetothyriales, Herpotrichiellaceae.